Molecule: ribosomal RNA, 366 nt
Filed under: uncultured bacterium
Lineage: Bacteria
Description: bacterial SSU rRNA
Rfam family: Bacterial small subunit ribosomal RNA
Source: RNAcentral
GAUGAACGCUAGCGGGAGGCUUAAUACAUGCAAGUCGAGGGGUAACAGGGGCUUCGGCCCGCUGACGACCGGCGCACGGGUGAGUAACGCGUACGCAACUUACCUCCAAGCGAGGGAUAGCCCUGGGAAACUGGGAUUAAUACCUCAUGUGAUUAUGAUGCCGCAUGGUGUUAUAAUUAAAGUUCAGGCGCUUGGAGAUGGGCGUGCGUUCUAUUAGCUAGUUGGUGGGGUAACGGCUCACCAAGGCGACGAUAGGUAGGGGGCGUGAGAGCGUGGCCCCCCACACGGGUACUGAGACACGGACCGACUCCUACGGAGGCAGCAGUAAGGAAUAUUGGACAAUGGGCGCAAGCCUGAUCCAGCCAU